AAAAUUUGUUCCAGGUGCGGAUGCCUGCCAAGGUGACAGCGGUGGCCCGCUGUUAUACAAUAGCUAUAUUGUGGUAGGAGUGACGUCAUGGGGAUAUGGAUGCGCACACCCGCAAUACCCCGGCGUCAGUGCACGUGUCGCCAGAUACAGUAACUGGAUUAAUGCUACGGUGACCAACAUUAACGGGAGCCCAUCUGUGAGCGAAUCGAGAAUAAUUCUACUGUUCACACUCAUCUGUGCAAUGCUCCACUGGCACUCCAGUUAGGCAAAUCUAUUUCAUAUGUAUAUAAGUUAUAAAAAAGGAUUCAAAAAUAUCUUUUUUCAAGUUUUUAUAUAUUGUUUUAAUUUUAUUUUUAUAUUUAUUUCACCUAUAUGAUUGAUAAUUAUGGUUAAAAUAAUUAAAACAUAAAGGGAACAUUCAUUUCUGUCAGC
Molecule: long non-coding RNA, 432 nt
Organism: Hyposmocoma kahamanoa
Lineage: Eukaryota; Metazoa; Arthropoda; Insecta; Lepidoptera; Cosmopterigidae
Exons: 2
Source: RefSeq, a predicted model, not a curated record